Long non-coding RNA from Numida meleagris (helmeted guineafowl), 262 nucleotides. RefSeq lists it as uncharacterized. The record is from RefSeq and is a predicted model, not a curated record. The transcript has 2 exons. Lineage: Eukaryota; Metazoa; Chordata; Aves; Galliformes; Numididae.
CUCCGCCCCGGUGCCCGUCGAGGCGGAGGGAGGCGGGCCGCGGGCGGUGGUGGACGGCUGCAAGGGUAGUGGUGUCUCCGGGCGAGAUGUAAACUGCGUAUGCCAAAGUUGUGAUAGAGUUAAACAGAAUGCAAUUCCACCUGCUAACGAAACCGUGUUUCCUUAUUGACUGAAGUACAGCCCCAGGGCAAGGACGUGAUCCAGCAGAGCACAAACUAUUCAGCUGACCUCUCAUUUGAAUAAAUCACAUAUGGUAAAUGGA